CCCUUAGAUGUUCUGGGCUGCACGCGCGCUACACUGAUGCGUUCAACGAGUGUACAUCCUUGCCCGUUAGGGUUGGGUAAUCUUUUGAACACGCAUCGUGAUGGGGAUAGAUUAUUGCAAUUAUUAAUCUUCAACGAGGAAUGCCUAGUAAGCGCAAGUCAUCAGCUUGCGUUGAUUACGUCCCUGCCCUUUGUACACACCGCCCGUCGCUCCUACCGAUUGAAUGGUCCGGUGAAGCGUUCGGACCGUGGCCUUUGGACGGUUCGCCGUCUGUUGGCUGCGGGAAGUUCGUUAAACCUUAUCAUUUAGAGGAAGGAGAAGUCGUAACA
RNAcentral lists this ribosomal RNA (329 nucleotides) under uncultured eukaryote. Its description in RNAcentral is "partial 18S ribosomal RNA". It matches the Rfam family "Eukaryotic small subunit ribosomal RNA", at positions 1470 to 1796 of the family's 1831-position model. The record is from RNAcentral.